GGAUGUGAGGAUGAUCUGGCUGUGACAUCUGUCAUAUCAUUGAUCGCCAGGGCUGAUCCGGGUGAUGUGGCUGGCUAGGCGGGUGUCCCUUUCUUCCCUCCACACUCCAUCUCAGUUAAUGGGGAUGACCCCUGGAGGACAGUUCCUCCUUUGAGGGUGUAUGAGUAGCUGUGCUCCCCUGCUUAGAACCUCCAAACAGGCUCUCAACUACCGCACAAUCAGACCUCAUGGGGAUCUGGAAUAACAUCAAGAUAUCACAGAAGUUCAGUUUUGAUUGUUUUUGUUCACCAUU
This is an unclassified non-coding RNA of Cavia aperea (Brazilian guinea pig), 292 nucleotides long. Its record names the gene 7SK. It matches the Rfam family "7SK RNA". From Rfam's summary of the family: 7SK was discovered as an abundant small nuclear RNA in the mid-70s but a possible function has only recently been suggested. Two independent studies have found that 7SK RNA binds the CDK9/cyclin T complex (known as elongation factor P-TEFb). P-TEFb activates transcription by phosphorylating the C-terminal domain of RNA polymerase II. Lineage: Eukaryota; Metazoa; Chordata; Mammalia; Rodentia; Caviidae. The record is from Ensembl.